RNAcentral lists this transfer RNA (89 nucleotides) under Lentinula edodes (shiitake mushroom). It matches the Rfam family "tRNA". From Rfam's summary of the family: Transfer RNA (tRNA) molecules are approximately 80 nucleotides in length. Lineage: Eukaryota; Fungi; Basidiomycota; Agaricomycetes; Agaricales; Omphalotaceae. The record is from Rfam by way of RNAcentral.
GCCCGCCUAGCUCAAUCGGAUAGAGCGUCAGACUUUUAAGGCGGGUAGUCUUGAUCUGAAGGCUGCGAGUUCGACCCUCGCGGUGGGCU